AUGAACGCUGGCGGCGUGCCUAAUACAUGCCAGUCGAGCGAACGGACGAGAAGCUUGCUUCUCUGAUGUUAGCGGCGGACGGGUGAGUAACACGUGGAUAACCUACCUAUAAGACUGGGAUAACUUCGGGAAACCGGAGCUAAUACCGGAUAAUAUUUUGAACCGCAUGGUUCAAAAGUGAAAGACGGUCUUGCUGUCACUUAUAGAUGGAUCCGCGCUGCAUUAGCUAGUUGGUAAGGUAAAGGCUUACCAAGGCAACGAUGCAUAGCCGACCUGAGAGGGUGAUCGGCCACACUGGAACUGAGACACGGUCCAGACUCCUACGGGAGGCAGCAGUAGGGAAUCUUCCGCAAUGGGCGAAAGCCUGACGGAGCAACGCCGCGUGAGUGAUGAAGGUCUUCGGAUCGUAAAACUCUGUUAUUAGGGAAGAACAUAUGUGUAAUUAACUGUGCACAUCUUGACGGUACCUAAUCAGAAAGCCACGGCUAACUACGUG
RNAcentral lists this ribosomal RNA (496 nucleotides) under uncultured bacterium. Its description in RNAcentral is "partial 16S ribosomal RNA". It matches the Rfam family "Bacterial small subunit ribosomal RNA", at positions 29 to 507 of the family's 1533-position model. The record is from RNAcentral.